This 403-nucleotide ribosomal RNA is filed under the name Papilio euchenor novohibernicus. RNAcentral's name for it is "partial 16S ribosomal RNA". Lineage: Eukaryota; Metazoa; Arthropoda; Insecta; Lepidoptera; Papilionidae. The record is from RNAcentral.
GGGCUGCAGUAUUUUGACUGUACAAAGGUAGCAUAAUCAUUAGUCUCUUAAUUGGUGACUUGUAUGAAAGAUUGGAUGAGAUAUAAACUGUCUCUAAUUGAUUUAUAAAAUUUAAUUUUUUAAUAAAAAAGUUAAAAUAAUUUUAAAAGACGAGAAGACCCUAUAGAGUUUUAUAAUUUAUUUAAUUAUUAUUAAUAUGUAAAUUUUAAUUUAAAAAUUAAAUAAAUUAUUUUAUUGGGGUGAUUGAAAAAUUUGAAGAACUUUUUUUAAAAAUAAACAUUAAUUUAUGAAUAAAGGAUCCAUUAUUAGUGAUUGAAAGAAUAAAUUACCUUAGGGAUAACAGCGUAAUUUUUUUUUUUAGUUCAAAUAGGAAAAAGAGUUUGCGACCUCGAUGUUGGAUUAA